AGAGCGAACGCUGGCGGCAGGCCUAAUACAUGCAAGUCGAACGAACCCUUCGGGGUUAGUGGCGGACGGGUGAGUAACACGUGGGAACGUGCCUUUUGGUUCGGAACAACUCAGGGAAACUUGAGCUAAUACCGAAUGUGCCCUUCGGGGGAAAGAUUUAUCGCCAUUAGAGCGGCCCGCGUCUGAUUAGCUAGUUGGUGGGGUAAAGGCCCACCAAGGCUACGAUCAGUAGCUGGUCUGAGAGGAUGAUCAGCCACACUGGGACUGAGACACGGCCCAGACUCCCACGGGAGGCAGCAGUAGGGAAUCUUGCGCAAUGGGCGAAAGCCUGACGCAGCCAUGCCGCGUGAAUGAUGAAGGUCUUAGGAUUGUAAAAUUCUUUCAGCGGGACGAUAAUGACGGUACCGCAGAAGAACGCCCGGCUAACUUCGUGCCAGCAGCCGC
Molecule: ribosomal RNA, 444 nt
Filed under: uncultured bacterium
Lineage: Bacteria
Description: SSU rRNA
Rfam family: Bacterial small subunit ribosomal RNA
Source: RNAcentral